Molecule: long non-coding RNA, 985 nt
Filed under: Phasianus colchicus (ring-necked pheasant)
Lineage: Eukaryota; Metazoa; Chordata; Aves; Galliformes; Phasianidae
Description: lncRNA (ENSPCLG00000016932.1)
Source: RNAcentral
AUGGGGCGCUAUGGGGUGGCUUUAUGGGAUGGUAGCUCUAUGGGGUCGCUUCAUGGGGUUUCCUGUGGCCCCAUAGCGCCUGGAGGGCCGCGCUUUGGGUUUGGGGUUGCGGCAUUUUGGGGCGGCGCUGCACGGGGCCGAGGAUCUGAAUGGGGACGGAAUGACGGACAUCGCCGUGGGGACGGACGGACGGGUCGUCAUCAUGAGAUCCCCUUCGAGCAGCACUGCGGCGCGGACGGGCUGUGUCAGCCGGAUUUGGAGCUGUCGGAGGUGGCGCCCCCUGGCGGCUGGGUUCAGCUCGGAGGACCGGCGGCUUCGUUCAGCGCCGCUUUCAGGCUGCGGAACCGCGCCGAGGACGCGCGGAGCGUCAGCGUCUGCAUCCGGCACCCCGGCGGCACGGCGCUGCGCAGGGCCAGGGCGGCCGCGGAGGGGGUGCGCGGCCCCACGUGGCCCCACAUGGCCCUACGGGGACCUAUGGCCAUAUACGGCCCCAAGGCUCCAUGUGGCCCUAUGUGGCCCCAUUGGAUCCCUAUGGCCCUAUGUGGACCUAUAUGGCCCCAUGGAAACCAUAUUGCCCUAUGGCCCUAUGUGGGUCUAUGGCCCCAUAAGGCCCUAUAUUGCCCUAUAUGCCCCUAUGACCCUAUAUUGCCCCAUAUGGCCCCAUCGGGAGCAUAUUGCCCUAUGGCCCUAUAUGGCUCUAUGACCCUAUAUGGCCCCACUGGAGCCUAUGGCCUCAUUGGUCCCAUGUCCUCAUAUGGCCCUAUAUGGCCCUACGUCCCUCUACGGCCCCAAUGUUCCCAUACGGCCCCAUUGUCCCCAUAUCCUCACUGUCCCCAUAUGACCUUAUAUGACCCCAUAUGGCCCCAUUUUCCCCCCCCAGGACUCAACCCCGGUGCCCAUCGACUGCCGGGAGCUGACAGUGGGGACAGACGUGGGGACAGACGUGGGGACAGACGUGGGGACAGACGUGGGGACAGACGUGGGG